GAGGGUAUAGCUCAGUGGUAGAGUGCAUGCUUAGCAUGCACGAGGUCCUAGGUUCAAUCCCCAGUGCCUCCU
Molecule: transfer RNA, 72 nt
Filed under: Camelus bactrianus (Bactrian camel)
Lineage: Eukaryota; Metazoa; Chordata; Mammalia; Artiodactyla; Camelidae
Also listed under: 2 other names
Rfam family: tRNA
About the family: Transfer RNA (tRNA) molecules are approximately 80 nucleotides in length. Their secondary structure includes four short double-helical elements and three loops (D, anti-codon, and T loops).
Source: Rfam by way of RNAcentral